This 72-nucleotide transfer RNA is filed under the name Chara vulgaris. RNAcentral describes it as "tRNA-Gln". It matches the Rfam family "tRNA". From Rfam's summary of the family: Transfer RNA (tRNA) molecules are approximately 80 nucleotides in length. The record is from RNAcentral. Lineage: Eukaryota; Viridiplantae; Streptophyta; Charophyceae; Charales; Characeae.
UGGGGUAUAGCCAAGUGGUAAGGCAACGGGUUUUGGUCCUGUCAUUCGGAGGUUCGAGUCCUUCUACCCCAG